Molecule: ribosomal RNA, 404 nt
Filed under: Fusobacteriota bacterium
Lineage: Bacteria; Fusobacteriati; Fusobacteriota
Description: Fusobacteria bacterium partial 16S ribosomal RNA
Rfam family: Bacterial small subunit ribosomal RNA
Source: RNAcentral
UGGGGAAUAUUGCACAAUGGAGGGAACUCUGAUGCAGCGACGCCGCGUGAGUGAUGAAGGAAUUCGUUUCGUAAAACUCUGUUCUAUGGGAAGAAAAGGACUGUACCAUAGGAGAAAGCUCCGGCUAAAUACGUGCCAGCAGCCGCGGUAAUACGUAUGGAGCGAGCGUUGUCCGGAAUUAUUGGGCGUAAAGGGUGCGCAGGCGGCUUUACAAGUUGGAUGUGAAAUAUUGUGGCUCAACCACAAACGUGCAUCCAAAACUGCAAAUCUUGAGUUAAGGAGAGGUAAGUGGAAUUCCUGGUGUAGCGGUGGAAUGCGUAGAUAUCAGGAGGAAUACCGGUGGCGAAGGCGACUUACUGGACUUAAACUGACGCUCAGGCACGAAAGCGUGGGGAGCAAACAGG